RNAcentral lists this ribosomal RNA (230 nucleotides) under uncultured bacterium. Its description in RNAcentral is "partial 16S ribosomal RNA". It matches the Rfam family "Bacterial small subunit ribosomal RNA", at positions 15 to 235 of the family's 1533-position model. The record is from RNAcentral.
GAUCCUGGCUCAGGAUGAACGCUAGCUACAGGCUUAACACAUGCAAGUCGAGGGGCAGCAUGGUCUUAGCUUGCUAAGGCCGAUGGCGACCGGCGCACGGGUGAGUAACACGUAUCCAACCUGCCGUCUACUCUUGGACAGCCUUCUGAAAGGAAGAUUAAUACAAGAUGGCAUCAUGAGUCCGCAUGUUCACAUGAUUAAAGGUAAUUCCGGUAGACGAUGGGAGUACG